This 468-nucleotide ribosomal RNA is filed under the name Laemodonta cubensis. Its description in RNAcentral is "partial 16S ribosomal RNA". It matches the Rfam family "Bacterial large subunit ribosomal RNA", at positions 1807 to 2607 of the family's 2925-position model. The record is from RNAcentral. Lineage: Eukaryota; Metazoa; Mollusca; Gastropoda; Ellobiida; Ellobiidae.
ACAAAAACAUAGCCUCAUGAGUAUAAUAUUAGGUGAGCCCUGCCCAGUGAAGUUUUAACGGCCGCAGUACCCUGACUGUGCUAAGGUAGCGUAAUCAGUUGGCUUUUAAAUGGAGUCGAGGAUGAAGGGGUCCAUGGGGGAGAGCUGUUUCUAAGUUGUUUUGUUGAAUUUAUUUACCGGGUGAAAAUCCCCGGUUAACGAAAAAAGACGAGAAGACCCUUAGAAUCUUUAUAAAUAUACAAUAAAGUAUUUGUAUUAAAUUUUUGUUGGGGCGACAACGAGGCAAAAUGCUCAUAAACCCUCGAUAAUAAAAUAAACAAGACGAGACUGAUAAGCAAGAGUAGAUUACCUUAGGGAUAACAGCAUAAUUUUUUUUUAAGCUUGUGACCUCGAUGUUGGACUAGGGACCACAAGACUAGCCGUCGUGGUGGCGAGAUCUGUUCGAUCUUUUUACCCCUACGUGAUCUG